Molecule: ribosomal RNA, 894 nt
Filed under: Neonectria lugdunensis
Lineage: Eukaryota; Fungi; Ascomycota; Sordariomycetes; Hypocreales; Nectriaceae
Description: LSU rRNA
Rfam family: Eukaryotic large subunit ribosomal RNA
Source: RNAcentral
CGCAUAUCAAUAAGCGGAGGAAAAGAAACCAACAGGGAUUGCCCUAGUAACGGCGAGUGAAGCGGCAACAGCUCAAAUUUGAAAUCUGGCCCCCGGGUCCGAGUUGUAAUUUGUAGAGGAUGCUUUUGGUGCGGUACCUUCCGAGUUCCCUGGAACGGGACGCCAUAGAGGGUGAGAGCCCCGUCUGGUUGGACGCCAAUCCUUUGUAAAGCUCCUUCAACGAGUCGAGUAGUUUGGGAAUGCUGCUCUAAAUGGGAGGUAUAUGUCUUCUAAAGCUAAAUAUUGGCCAGAGACCGAUAGCGCACAAGUAGAGUGAUCGAAAGAUGAAAAGCACUUUGAAAAGAGAGUUAAAAAGUACGUGAAAUUGUUGAAAGGGAAGCGCUCAUGACCAGACUUGGGCUUGGUUGAUCAUCCAGGGUUCUCCCUGGUGCACUCUUCCGGCCCAGGCCAGCAUCAGUUCGCUGUGGGGGAUAAAGGCUUCGGGAAUGUGGCUCCCUCGGGAGUGUUAUAGCCCGUUGUGUAAUACCCUGUGGUGGACUGAGGUUCGCGCAUUCGCAAGGAUGCUGGCGUAAUGGUCAUCAGCGACCCGUCUUGAAACACGGACCAAGGAGUCGUCUUCGUAUGCGAGUGUUCGGGUGUCAAACCCCUACGCGUAAUGAAAGUGAACGCAGGUGAGAGCUUCGGCGCAUCAUCGACCGAUCCUGAUGUUCUCGGAUGGAUUUGAGUAAGAGCAUACGGGGCCGGACCCGAAAGAAGGUGAACUAUGCCUGUAUAGGGUGAAGCCAGAGGAAACUCUGGUGGAGGCUCGCAGCGGUUCUGACGUGCAAAUCGAUCGUCAAAUAUGGGCAUGGGGGGCGAAAGACUAAUCGAACCUUCUAGUAGCUGGUUUCCGCG